AUGCUCGGCAAGCGGCAGCGGAGCAUGCUGAUGCGCCGGACGACCAGCCUGGCGUCCAUGCCGUCGGUGCCCAAGCAGGUGCGCCAGGGCAGCGGCGGCGGCGGCGGCGACGACGACGACAAGGACAGGCAGGCGCGCGCGCGGCCGUCCUCCUCCGUAUCGGCCGGCGCGGUGGGGACGGGCGGCGGCGCCGGCGGUGGCUACCCCUCUCCCGGGCGGGACGCCUUCGCCGGGCUGAUGAUCACCGCGGCGUUCCUGUCCGCCUGCGGCUUCUGCGCCAAGCCCCUCGGCCCCGGCGAGGACACCUACAUCUACAGGGGCGAGGUGGCAUUCUGCAGCCAGGAGUGCAGGGAGCAUCAGAUCGCGAAGGACGAGCUCAUGGAACAGAACUGCACCAUCACAUCCAUCCGGGAGGCCCCGUCGGACCAGUCUGGCAGCGGCGGCGGCUCCGGCGGCGCCGGGGACGCCGUCGCCACCGCAUAG
Molecule: ribosomal RNA, 483 nt
Filed under: Triticum aestivum (bread wheat)
Lineage: Eukaryota; Viridiplantae; Streptophyta; Magnoliopsida; Poales; Poaceae
Description: partial small subunit ribosomal RNA
Source: RNAcentral